Molecule: long non-coding RNA, 1188 nt
Filed under: Taeniopygia guttata (zebra finch)
Lineage: Eukaryota; Metazoa; Chordata; Aves; Passeriformes; Estrildidae
Description: lncRNA (ENSTGUG00000024573.1)
Source: RNAcentral
AUGACCCGCACAUGGCGUGGUGGCCACGCUGGCCCUCUCCAUCCCUUGGCCACAGAGUUGCGGUGCCAAGUGGCAGCAUCCCACGCCGCCACCCACGCGAUGGGCUCGUGUUGGGCGACCGUCGCAUGUCACAUCCCUUUGGGGGACACCACCGAGGCACGUCCCUCAGCCACCCCUCGGCUGUGCCGCUGCUGGAGAACCCCGCGGGGACCGGAGCUGGAGGCUGCCCUGACCUCAGGCAACCUUCCCGAGCCCCGGCGGGCCGGGUCAGGGCUGCCCAUCGCCCUGGCGAGGCUCAGCACCCUCCGCACGGUGCCCGGGGAGCUGCCCGGGCAGGGAGCUCUGCCCGGCCGAGGCGCUGCGCGGAUGCUCCGGCGCCGCCCUGGCACCCACCUGUGGGUGCAGAAGAGCCGGGGAGGCCUCCGGGAGGGGGAUCCUCCCUGCAACCCCCGCCCCGGGCUGGGCAAACCCCGGUACGGCCGGCCCUGCGGCUGGAGGGUGCCCCCCUCCUUCCCCCUCUCCAUCCUCCUCCUCCUCCUCCUCCUGCUGGCAGGAGCCCUGCCCUCCCCUGGGGGGAUGCGGCGGGGAGUUCCCCCUCCCUGCUCGGCGCUCGGGGUCCCCCCGCCCCUCCGGCCGGUCCCCACGGAGCAUCCCCCCGCCCCGGCGCUCGCACACGGGGCCGGUGACAGGCGGCAGCCGGACACACGGACGCACGGACAGACGGACGGGCACGGGCAGGGCUCUCCAUCCUCGGCGGGGCUCGGCGCGUGUGGGCAGAGCCGUGCAGGAGGGAGGAUGCCCGGGGCAGGGCUGCAUGCAGGGGGAGCGUGCAGAGGGGCUGCGGGAGGAAGAGAGGGUGGGCAAAGCGGGGUCCGCCGGGGGAGCGAGGCUGGGCUGGGCACCGGGCGAGGGAGGGGGCGAUGGGGGCGCGUCCCCCCCACCCCCCCCCCCCAUCCGCGGCAGCCCCUGGCCGGGGCGCGGGGUACUCACGGGCCGGGCAUCCGCGCCGCCGCCGCCGCCCCCGGCCGCCGCCGCUGCGCUGCCGCCGGGCUGGGCACCGGAGGGAGAGGGAGCGGCAGCGGGAGCCGAGCGGCGGCGGCGGCACUGCGCAGGCUCCGGCCCGGCCCCGCCGGCCACUUCCGAAAGCGAUUGCAGCCCUGGCACUUCCUCACGGCACACACACGCACG